This 1284-nucleotide ribosomal RNA is filed under the name Vibrio sp. S2687. RNAcentral's name for it is "bacterial SSU rRNA". It matches the Rfam family "Bacterial small subunit ribosomal RNA", at positions 23 to 1287 of the family's 1533-position model. Lineage: Bacteria; Pseudomonadati; Pseudomonadota; Gammaproteobacteria; Vibrionales; Vibrionaceae. The record is from RNAcentral.
CUCAGAUUGAACGCUGGCGGCAGGCCUAACACAUGCAAGUCGAGCGGAAACGAGUUAUCUGAACCUUCGGGGAACGAUAACGGCGUCGAGCGGCGGACGGGUGAGUAAUGCCUAGGAAAUUGCCCUGAUGUGGGGGAUAACCAUUGGAAACGAUGGCUAAUACCGCAUGAUGCCUACGGGCCAAAGAGGGGGACCUUCGGGCCUCUCGCGUCAGGAUAUGCCUAGGUGGGAUUAGCUAGUUGGUGAGGUAAGGGCUCACCAAGGCGACGAUCCCUAGCUGGUCUGAGAGGAUGAUCAGCCACACUGGAACUGAGACACGGUCCAGACUCCUACGGGAGGCAGCAGUGGGGAAUAUUGCACAAUGGGCGCAAGCCUGAUGCAGCCAUGCCGCGUGUGUGAAGAAGGCCUUCGGGUUGUAAAGCACUUUCAGUCGUGAGGAAGGUAGUGUAGUUAAUAGCUGCAUUAUUUGACGUUAGCGACAGAAGAAGCACCGGCUAACUCCGUGCCAGCAGCCGCGGUAAUACGGAGGGUGCGAGCGUUAAUCGGAAUUACUGGGCGUAAAGCGCAUGCAGGUGGUUUGUUAAGUCAGAUGUGAAAGCCCGGGGCUCAACCUCGGAAUUGCAUUUGAAACUGGCAGACUAGAGUACUGUAGAGGGGGGUAGAAUUUCAGGUGUAGCGGUGAAAUGCGUAGAGAUCUGAAGGAAUACCGGUGGCGAAGGCGGCCCCCUGGACAGAUACUGACACUCAGAUGCGAAAGCGUGGGGAGCAAACAGGAUUAGAUACCCUGGUAGUCCACGCCGUAAACGAUGUCUACUUGGAGGUUGUGGCCUUGAGCCGUGGCUUUCGGAGCUAACGCGUUAAGUAGACCGCCUGGGGAGUACGGUCGCAAGAUUAAAACUCAAAUGAAUUGACGGGGGCCCGCACAAGCGGUGGAGCAUGUGGUUUAAUUCGAUGCAACGCGAAGAACCUUACCUACUCUUGACAUCCAGAGAACUUUCCAGAGAUGGAUUGGUGCCUUCGGGAACUCUGAGACAGGUGCUGCAUGGCUGUCGUCAGCUCGUGUUGUGAAAUGUUGGGUUAAGUCCCGCAACGAGCGCAACCCUUAUCCUUGUUUGCCAGCGAGUAAUGUCGGGAACUCCAGGGAGACUGCCGGUGAUAAACCGGAGGAAGGUGGGGACGACGUCAAGUCAUCAUGGCCCUUACGAGUAGGGCUACACACGUGCUACAAUGGCGCAUACAGAGGGCGGCCAACUUGCGAAAGUGAGCGAAUCCCAAAAGUGCGUC